Non-coding RNA from Physcomitrium patens, 3729 nucleotides. The record is from RefSeq and is a predicted model, not a curated record. NCBI's taxonomy places the organism in Eukaryota, Viridiplantae, Streptophyta, Bryopsida, Funariales, Funariaceae.
UCAUGGAGUAAAGACCUUCAGUUCCUUGCAUUCGUUUUUGCAGCGGGGGUUCUGAGAGCGGCGUGCUCGUAUAGCAGUAUCUGAGUUCGUGUGCUUGCUAGGUGUGGAUGACAGGUAGUCGUGUGAGGCCGUGAAGGUUUUAAGGGUGGGAGUUUAUCAUUUUGUAUCCCGCGUGACGAGGGUGAAGCGGAGAAGAUUAGGGGGAAUUGUCUGUGCCGGAGAGCAGCACGCAGGGUUUUUGAUCGAGACCCGAGGGCUGAGGAAAUCUGAAGAAAUCUUGAUUCAAAGCAGAAACCAAUUGCCGAACAAUGUGUCACGGUUUAUUUGAAGAGCGGGCAAGGAUAUCCGUGCCCGAACCUCUUCGGGGGGUUUUGUACGAGGAUCAGCCCGAGUACGAGAGAUAUGUCGAUGAUUACCCAAGCGUGUAUGGCAGUAGCAGCGACUCGAUGCCGCCAGAUUCGCCGGAUUUGUCGGACGAUGUGUUGGCUGGUAUAAAUAUCGACUAUUCCACAAUUGUGAAGAAGUCUGAUGCCGAGAAGACCAAAGACAUCGGAUCUGAUGCGCUGCCGUUGACUGGAUCCCUUUCAACAUGGUUUGAUUGCAUCCAGGAUGACGUUUGCAUAGUAACCGAGGGAGCACCAACCAAGUCUGGUUAUUUUGCUGCUAAAUCAUCAUCAUCUCAAGAUGCUUUACGCCUGGUCGAGGCUGCACCAGAAAGCAGGAAAGCUUUUAAGACGGCUGCUGCGAAAGAUCAGAGCUACUCACAACAUGUCUCCAAGAUGGAUGAUGAGGCGCCUGUUUUAAUCGACGAGAAAAGAAAGAGGAGGUGUGUUAAAAAGUUCUUGUCUCCAUUAGAUUCUUAACGGUGUGUGUUUCAGAGCAUGUCAUGAAAAACUUGAAGACCACCUUUGUCUCGACUAUCACGGACACAUCCCUUUCAAUACCAAGAACUGCCAACUUCUGCUCAAUCAUUAUUACUUCAGGUUUGUGGAAAGGAAAUAUUUGAACUGCUUGGUAUAGUGAGGCACAGGUAGUACUAGUUUCACCGAACGAUUGGUCUCGCACCCAUUACUUAUGGUAGUUUUGCGAGUGUCGUCAACGAUUAAUGGCGAUCGGGAAUAAGCCUCCCGCUUAGCAUAAGUUUUGGCAUUGGGUUACUGUCUCUUUGGUGACAAAGGUGGAGGCGAAUGCUACUUAUCAUGCUCACUUCUUGAGCAGUGCUCCAUGUGAAUUUUCAAAGAUGUGGGUAAACACAUCCACUUGGAGCUUGGAAGAAGGAUGUCCUCAAAUCGUGCGUCAGCACAACGGUCAAGACAAAGAAAGCAGGAGCGUCUGGACGAGCUCGAAAUUUUGACUGCUCAAUUACGUUUGGAGAACGCCACUCUAUCCCGUAGGUUAAAGAUAGCCGAGCAGCUCGCCAAGAAACUCGAGCUCGAGAAGAAUGAAUUGGCUGUCAAAGUGGAGGAGUUAAUGAAAGAACUCGAUUCUGCCCGACAUCCACGUGCUCAGGCAGAUUCUGGGGAACUCAGUGAAGGCAAAGAUGUAAACUCUGGCAUCUGUCACAUGGUUGAUGGAGGGCUGAUUUCCCCAGACGCUUGCAUAAAACUUGAAAUAUCUUCCAAGGGCAGCCCUCCGACUGCUUCAACAUUCGGUGCGAAGAAGCGAAACUUCUCCUGCAUAGACAUGUCACGUGGCUUCUUUCAGGAGCUCUACGACGAAAUUGACUCGGACCAGUUCGACGCUAGCAUUAGUGGUGUUCCAGUUCUCCUUCAAGAGCAGUGGUAUGGGUCCUUCACGGAGUGUUUGAACGCGUAACUCUGUCUCUGACAGAAAACUGAAGUGUAACGAUUGAAGGUUGGAGUUUGUCUGCCGAAGAUGUUAUGAUACAUCUUACAUCUGAACUGAUUACUUGCCAUGAUUUCCAUCCGUCAUGUCCCUAACGUAUGGAUACCUUGAAGGCAGAUUUGGUAAGGUUUUUAGGGUCCUGGAAAUGUAUUGGGAGAAACUGAAUUGUUUUAAACGUUUGAAAGAUAAUAAACAUUCUUGCAUCACUGGGAUGUGUUGUUGCUUCAUCAAUCAGUUUCUUUCUCUUUGCAAGCUGUUGUGAAUAGAAUGAUGCUAGCUCCCAUGUGUAAACGGGAGGAUUGGUGUUUCAAACAUCAUGUUACACUCAUGAUUCUGCGUCUUCAGCAUUUGAAAAUCAAUCGUGCACCCAGAUGUUAUCCAUCAUGAGUAAUUUGUCGUUCUGGCCCGUUUGAAAUUAAGUUUCUCACUUUCUUUUCUUCCUUUUUCCUUUUGCCCUCUCCUCCUCUCCCUCUCUCGAUCUUAUCUUCCAAGUCGAAGAUGCAGGUGUACGUGUAGCACGAACUUUUCAAAUCCUUCAUUGUCUCUCCUUCAGAAUUGUCAAGCAUGGGUGGGCAGAAUGAAUUGUCAACAUUAUUUAAUCUUUGAACUUAUUUGCAUUCUACUGUAAGUGUUGGCUUCUGAAUGGUGAAAGUUUUUCCAAAGAAUGUCAUGACGUGAAGAAUCGAUCAAUUGCAUGUUGCUAUAUUAUGAUGCAUUCGCUGCAUUCAGGAGGUGGAAAGAGUGGAGUCUGUUGAGGGUUUGGGUUAGGGUGUGGCAUUUUAGAAAAAGUCCUCAAGAAUGUAGGGGGUUUCAAUGAGAUUGAAAUCUAGCUGUUUUGAACUCAGAAACGCACAAAAAUCUCCAAUCUUGCUGUCAAUAAAUUUCGCCAAAAAAGGCAGUGAAAUAAGCUUCCUCUAAUUGACCUUCGAAUAUUAUGGCUGCUGUUGCUGCACAAGACCUUGCCAACGUAACGUCAAGCCAAAUGUUGAAAGAAAUUACUAUCCCUAAGUGAGGACAGAGUGGUGGCAUGGGUUGGUCUCCUAAGUGAGCCUCAUCGAACCGCGUUCAGACAUUCCACAUCAGGGAACAUAUAAAUGUGUCGGUUCCACAAUUGUUGCUGACUCAUCACAAAUCGACAAAACGCGAUCAUAAACAAAUACAUCAAAUGACAGUUGCCCAAGUGCCGACAAAGUUACGAUACGUAGUCAUCGACGAUGACUUGUAGUAUCCUCUAUAUAUGAAAAGGUUCGGUUGGAAUCGAUAUUUGCAAGAACUGCACUAACAUUCGCAAGCUUAGGACAGCAAAGUGGAUAAAAUCGAACAAGAAUCCAGCGGAGUGGCAGGACAUGUAUGAAUUCAGAACCUCAAAGUCUGCAACUUAUCUUGGUCAAGGUGGGUACCCUAUUUCACUUAAUUUCUGUCCCAGUCUUUGCUGUCAGACUGUCGAUAUGAACUGAUCUGAGGUUAAACUAAACAGUUGGGUUGUACACUUUCACUUGUCCUGGUGGAAAACAUGAGAAUUCGCAGGUUUUGCGGUCUUUAAUGUGGGCUGUCGGUGUUGGGGACGCUUGGUCAUCCUCAGCAUUGCGCAAUGCGAAGUGAGCAGUACGUCUUGUUGUAACAGUUCUUCAAACGUCAAUCGCUAGUCUUCGGCUGCUGCUUUGACCUUGAAAUUAUCGCAAACAGUAAUAGGUAUGUGGGCUGGAAUGGGGCUGAAUCCAGCGCAACAUGCGUACUGGUGGGCAUUGGACGGGUUGCAAAAAUGCCUCAGUGAAAGUCUCCGUGUUGAAAAGACAUCUCGGGCAUGAAUAUUUAAAUGUAAAACGUUCUGCGUGCUCGCUGCAGUAAGCACAGUUUCAUUUUUCAUUUUCUUUAUUUAUUCCA